Molecule: ribosomal RNA, 433 nt
Filed under: uncultured bacterium
Lineage: Bacteria
Description: partial 16S ribosomal RNA
Rfam family: Bacterial small subunit ribosomal RNA
Source: RNAcentral
AACGAACGCUGGCGGCAUGCCUAACACAUGCAAGUCGAACGAGACCUUCGGGUCUAGUGGCGCACGGGUGCGUAACGCGUGGUAACCUGCCCUUAGGUUCGGAAUAACUCCCCGAAAGGGGUGCUCAUACCGGUUAAUGUCUUCGGACCAAAGAUUUAUCGCUUUUGGAUGGGCCCGCGUUGGAUUAGCGAGUUGGUAGGGUAAAAGCCUACCAAGGCGACGAUCCAUAGCUGGUCUGAGAGGAUGAUCAGCCACACUGGGAAUGAGACACGGCCCAGAAUCCGACGGGAGGGAGCAGUGGGGAAUAUUGGACAAUGGGCGAAAGCCUGAUCCAGCAAUGCGGGGUGAGUGAUGAAGGCCUUAGGGUUGUAAAGCUCUUUUACCCGGGAUGAGAAUGACAGUACCGGGAGAAUAAGCUCCGGCUAACUCCGUG